AGCGAACGCUGGCGGCAUGCCUAACACAUGCAAGUCGAGCGCUCCCAGCAAUGGGGGAGCGGCGGACGGGUGAGUAACGCGUAGGAACGUAUCCUGAGGUGGGGGAUAACCCUGGGAAACUAGGGCUAAUACCGCAUGAUGGCGAGAGCCCAAAGAUUUAUCGCCUUGGGAGCGGCCUGCGUCUGAUUAGCUUGUUGGUGGGGUAACGGCCUACCAAGGCGAUGAUCAGUAGCUGGUCUGAGAGGAUGAUCAGCCACACUGGGACUGAGACACGGCCCAGACUCCUACGGGAGGCAGCAGUGGGGAAUAUUGGACAAUGGGCGAAAGCCUGAUCCAGCAAUGCCGCGUGGAUGAAGAAGGUCUUCGGAUUGUAAAGUCCUUUCGGCGGGGACGAUGAUGACGGUACCCGCAGAAGAAGCCCCGGCUAACUUCGUGCCAGCAGCCGCGG
This 448-nucleotide ribosomal RNA is filed under the name uncultured bacterium. RNAcentral's name for it is "bacterial SSU rRNA". It matches the Rfam family "Bacterial small subunit ribosomal RNA", at positions 29 to 520 of the family's 1533-position model. The record is from RNAcentral.